This 4205-nucleotide long non-coding RNA is filed under the name Vitis vinifera (wine grape). RNAcentral's name for it is "long non-coding RNA (VVIN_LNC005038)". The record is from RNAcentral. Lineage: Eukaryota; Viridiplantae; Streptophyta; Magnoliopsida; Vitales; Vitaceae.
UUAUUUUAUGAAACAUAUUCUUUUUUAUUAUUAAAAAGAAAAAAGAUUUCCCCUUUCAAAUCUUGAAGUCCCCGUGGUAUUUUGGAGUUGAACUCAAGGAUAGUUGAUUGUCCUGUAGCAUCAUCAGCUGGUUGUUUAGAUCGUUUAUUAUUUGCUUACAUUGUUACAAUAGGAUAUUUAUAGUUUUUGAGUUCAGGUAGCCUGAUGGGGUGCCCAGUUGGCUAGGGCGAGUCUUGUAAUGUGUGGUAGAGGUGCACGACCUUGGUUGAAUGCCUUGAUUACCCAGUGUUGGUGCUGGUUAUGGUGGGUAUAGUUAGCACCCCGAGGUUGGGCCCGUUGGGGUUCUCGUGGAGAGUCCCAAGGGCUCAAACAUGAAAGGUUCCACAGUAAUCCAAAAAAAGUAAAAUUGAGUUUAGGCAUUUGUUUUGGAUUGAUUACUACACAGUGAGAAUUAAACCCUAAUUAAUAGUUCUUAUUAGCCCCUUACUGUCUAAUGAAUAAGCUCACAAACUGAAGUUUUGGUAACUAGUCUUUUCUCCUUAAGAGUGUACAAUGUCGACAACACACAUGGGUUAUGCCCUUAUCUGUAAUUUUUCAAAAAUAUGUAUUUUUUUGUUGGGUUUGAUUCAUGCUCAUGCAUGUUACCAGAAAUCUGUGCAGUUUGAGGAAUUCACAGUCCUAGUUUAUGUACAUGCAUAUUCUCGUUCGAAAAUUCAUGUUCUCUUGCUUUCAUUCAUUUGAUUUUUCAAACAGUUUUGAUUCCUAAAAUGUGUUUAUGCAUUCACUUGAUUUCAUCACAUGAAUAAAUCUAUGUUUUUAUUUGAAUUUAUAGCCCAAAUGCAUUUAACUCAGAUGAUGAUUACUAAUGUGUUGCCUUUGUUUCUUCUAGUUUCUUCACUUUGCCCUCUUUCUUAUUUUCAAUUUGGCAUAUGGAAUUGAUUCAUGUCCAACUGGUGCUCCUUGAUUGAGGGAGUAAUCAACAAAAUUUAUAACCUAUAUCACCAUGCAUUAGGAUAGCUUUAGCUAGUAUAGCAUAGUGGCUCUAGGAUCGUUCACUGGGAAGGGUUUUCAACUCACAAUUGAUACCAAUUCAAUGUUAAAUUGGUGCUUUUUCAUUUCAAGAUUAGCUUAAGAAAGAAAACACAAACUUUGGUUGAACAAGGUUUUGUUUCAAGCUAACUAAAAAGAAAGUAAUGGAAAUUACUUAUGAAGAAAAACAUUCCUUGGAGGUUUAGGUUCACAGGGGAGGUUUCUCAUGCAAAAACAGAGCUCCGGUCAUUUGGUUCAUUUCCUCGCAUUAGAGAAUUAACAUAUAGUCAAUUCUCUAACCGGUGUUGUACAGAUGUAUCCUUUAAAUGGAUUUCAGCUCUAAUUCCCUCUCAUUGAUGCAAUUUGCAAUGGCUCGUGCUUCUCACCUAGCAUUUGCCAUGCAAGGUAAUCAUUAACUUUGGAAUUCCCUUCUCAAGCUCGCAAGAGAUAACUAAUGGAUGUCUCCUUGGAGUCCAAAAGCUUACCAAGUGUUGGCAAUUCUAGAAAAUCCUACCUUCAAGUCACUUCCCAAAAGCUCGCAAGAGGUAAACUAGUGCAUCUCCAUGGACGGAGAUCACUUGCCUUACCAAGUGUUGGCUCGAGUGAAUUGAAGGUGUUUUAAGUUAACUAAAAACAUAGAAAUCAUUAAAGGAUAACACUUUCUCUUCAUUAAUGGCUGAAACCACAAAGCUACUAAUUCUUGCACUUGGAACCUUUCCCGGCAACCUUAGCUCCAAGAAACUAAAAGUCUAGCCACUCAUUCUUUGAGGAAAAUUCCUCAGAGCUUGUUUGGCUAGUAAGAAAAAUUAGAUGAAUAAAAAAAAUCAAAACAAGUAGGUAAGGCAGAGAAAAAACUCUCAAUUUUACUUCUUUCCAAAAACUAUACAAAGUGUCUGUGUACAAGCCUUGUUUUUCAUCCGUCCCCUUUGUGAGGAAACUUACAACCAUUAAAUAUGGGUUUAUUUACCCUUUGUUCUUGCUUAAAGACUAAGGAAUCCUAUGAUAGGUGGGUUAUAAGGAGAGUUUGGGGAUCUAAACGUCAAAUAUCUAAAGCAAAAAAUCUCAAAAUGUUGGUCGUAAAUAUCGAGAAGCUUCAGGAGAAAUUCCAUUGCACUGUGCAAAAUGGCUGUGAAAUUUUCGCAGCAAAAGGACAACAUUUUCGCAGCCCAAGGCUGAUUUCGCAGUCGUGCAAAAAUCUUCCUUCAACUUGGAGUGAUCUGCUUGCAAUGGCUGUAACUCCUUCAUUUCAACUCCGAAUCAUGUACCGUUUGAAGCAUUGGAUUUUUGACUUCCUGAGCUUCGAAACGACAUAUAGCAUACAUAAAUUGAACUCCCGAAAGUGCUCCAAAAGUGGCUGAAAUGACUAUCAUCAAGAAUGCUUCAUGGCUGGUUCUUCUUUGCUUCCCCUCCUUGCAUUCUAGAUUUGCUUAUGGCAAAGGACUUUAAAGCUUCGGUUCUUCAUGUUUCUGAGAUUUCCAUUGAUUUUUCAUGGAUUCUAAAGAACUCUCCUCAAUCUCGGAUUGCUUUGGUGAUCAAAUUACUAACAAAAACACCAAAACUUACACACUUUGAUUAGAAAUGAUUGCAAAGGUCUUUAAUAUGUUAAUUGGGUUAAAAGGUGAUAACUAAUACUCAAAAGUGUUUAAAAGAGUUAAUUACAAGCUAUCAAAUAGCACUUUUUGAGUAGUAAUCAGGAAUUGUCUACUUUAUUACAUGUUUCUGUUUGUGGUUUCUGGUCUAUGUUUGUGGGUGGUUUACUAUUUCUCUUUGUCACUUUUCAGUUUGGUGGGGAAAGGGUGAUUGGGAUAUUUCUUGGUACUCAUAUUAUAAUUUGAGAAGAGCACCAAAUCAUCACUAUGAAUGAAUUAGUUCUUUAAUUGUUGAGAUUUGGUUUUGAUUUUUUUAAGUGUUUUUUUGUUAGCUGGAUAGUCUUGGUUGACUCAUCUAAUUUCUUUAAUUCUUAGUUCAUCCAUGCCUGAUUUUUGUAUGUCUUAUUCAUACAUAAUUAUAUUUUAUUCUUAGUGGAAAAGCCUGGAAGAACUCGUCUUCUGAACAACUUUCAGUAAUGACUGAGUUGAGUUCUGCAGCUUUUUUCUUUUAUUUUCUUUUCUUUUUUCAACAUAGUUUGGGUCAUUUUUUGGCUGGUAAAAAAUUCAGGGACUACAAAGUCGUCCAAUUUUGGUUUCUUGCGGGUUGUGUCUGUGCAACUUGCAAGUGGUUUUUCUUUACACUUGGAGGCUUGUCGGUACAUGCUUGCUUUUGUGUCGAAGAGGCGUUAUGCUCUAAGCUGAGUUUAUGGGUUUUUGUUUGGUAGUUCGAUUGAAUUAACAUGUUCACGUGGGAUUUUGUUUUAAGGUUUUAACUUCUACUUCAUUUCCGUUUCCAUUUCCCGAGUUUGUCCGAUUUCGAGUAUAAACGAUACAAAAAAGGCUCAUAAGUUAAAAAAAAAUUAUAAAAAAUUCAUGUAAGGUACUUAGAGUCUAUUUAGUAGUGAUUUUAGGAAGCGUUUUUAAUAUUUUUAAUACUUGAAAAUUUGUAUCAUUCAGUAUUAUAAAUGCUAAAAACACUUUCUAGAAUCACUCUCAAACGCACUUUUACUUGUAUUGUUUCAAUUUGUUUAUUGUGAUGUUUUUUUAAUGGGCUGAUGAUGAUUUGAACAUAUUUGAAUUUCGUACUAAGCAAGUUGAUCAAUGAAAUUGCAUUGCUUGCAUUAGUUUUUUAGGUGGUGGAUCUUUGAUUUUUGAUUGCUCCUCAUUAUACAUUUUUCUUUUUAAUUUGAUUGCAUUGCUUGCAUUAGAAUUUCAUAAAGCUUGAUAUUUGAUUGCUCCUCAUUAUACAUUUUUCUUUUUAAUUUGUUAAUAUGCUCUAUAUUUUUGGCUACAGAUUCGAAGUUUGGGUGUUGGAAAUUUAAGGCUUUCCUGUAAAGUAAUGCUUCAAGACGGAGGCAAGAGACUUGGUUGUAGAUAUAUACAUGAGCAACUUAAUUUAAGUUUAUGUAUAUUGUCUUAUAGUGUGUUUUUAGUUUCCUUGUAUAUUAUAUGAGUUUCUUUUAUAUAGAGAAAUUGGGGACAACUUUAAACAAGUUCAUUGAUUUGUGCUUUAAUUAAUAAUCAAAUGUAUAUUAAAUAUGUUUUGAUUAUAUAUAAAAUCAUGAUAAUUUGAUUGUCAUUAUCAUU